UACAGAGGUCUCAAGCGUUGUUCGGAUUCAUUGGGCGUAAAGGGUGCGUAGGUGGCGCCAUAAGUCAGGUGUGAAAUCUCGGGGCUCAACCUCGAAACUGCACUUGAUACUGUGGUGCUUGAGUACUGGAGAGGAGAUUGGAAUUUACGGUGUAGCAGUGAAAUGCGUAGAUAUCGGGAGGAACACCAGUGGCGAAGGCGACUACCUGGCCUGUUCUUGACGCUGAGGCGCGAAAGCUAGGGAGCGAACAGG
Molecule: ribosomal RNA, 252 nt
Filed under: uncultured bacterium
Lineage: Bacteria
Description: partial 16S ribosomal RNA
Rfam family: Bacterial small subunit ribosomal RNA
Source: RNAcentral